UUUAAAUUGAGAGUUUGAUCCUGGCUCAGGACGAACGCUGGCGGCGUGCCUAACACAUGCAAGUCGAGCGAUGAAACCCUUCGGGGUGGAUUAGCGGCGGACGGGUGAGUAACACGUGGGUAACCUGCCUCAAAGAGGGGAAUAGCCUCCCGAAAGGGAGAUUAAUACCGCAUAAUAUGUUAAGGCCACAUGACCUUUACAUCAAAGGAUUUUUCUUUUAGAGAAUUCCACUUUGAGAUGGACCCGCGGCGCAUUAGCUAGUUGGUGAGGUAACGGCCCACCAAGGCAACGAUGCGUAGCCGACCUGAGAGGGUGAUCGGCCACAUUGGAACUGAGACACGGUCCAGACUCCUACGGGAGGCAGCAGUGGGGAAUAUUGCGCAAUGGGGGAAACCCUGACGCAGCAACGCCGCGUGAAUGAUGAAGGCCUUCGGGUU
This 437-nucleotide ribosomal RNA is filed under the name Clostridium sp. FP2. Its description in RNAcentral is "bacterial SSU rRNA". It matches the Rfam family "Bacterial small subunit ribosomal RNA", at positions 1 to 424 of the family's 1533-position model. The record is from RNAcentral. Lineage: Bacteria; Bacillati; Bacillota; Clostridia; Eubacteriales; Clostridiaceae.